CCUACGGGUGGCAGCAGUGGGGAAUAUUGGACAAUGGGCGAAAGCCUGAUCCAGCCAUGCCGCGUGUGUGAAGAAGGCCUUCGGGUUGUAAAGCACUUUCAGUGGGGAAGAAAGCCUUGGGGCUAAUACCCUCGAGGAAGGACAUCACCCACAGAAGAAGCACCGGCUAACUCCGUGCCAGCAGCCGCGGUAAUACGGAGGGUGCGAGCGUUAACCGGAAUUACUGGGCGUAAAGCGCGCGUAGGCGGUCUGAUAAGCCGGUUGUGAAAGCCCCGGGCUCAACCUGGGAACGGCAUCCGGAACUGUCAGGCUAGAGUGCAGGAGAGGAAGGUAGAAUUCCCGGUGUAGCGGUGAAAUGCGUAGAGAUCGGGAGGAAUACCAGUGGCGAAGGCGGCCUUCUGGACUGACACUGACGCUGAGGUGCGAAAGCGUGGGUAGCAAACAGGAUUAGAUACCCCAGUAGUC
Molecule: ribosomal RNA, 465 nt
Filed under: Vreelandella stevensii
Lineage: Bacteria; Pseudomonadati; Pseudomonadota; Gammaproteobacteria; Oceanospirillales; Halomonadaceae
Description: partial 16S ribosomal RNA
Rfam family: Bacterial small subunit ribosomal RNA
Source: RNAcentral